CCAGGAAGUGGUUGUGAAUGGACCGACUCUCGCGGGGAUGUGUGGGCAUAAGAACACCUGCCACCGCCUGUUCCUCAACCAUCCAGCCGCGUCCAGAGGGAGAAGAAGACAGAAAGUGAGAGAGAGAGACCAGGGCCGCCACGCGAUAGACUGGGCGUUCGCGUCACUGGUGAUCUGAGUCCGGGUCGGGGUGCGCAGCGGAAGCGGGGUGGUGCCACUCGCGGGCGCAACGGAAAGAGCCGGGCGUCGCAGUGGCGAGAAUUGCUCACCCGAGCCUUUGCCACCGCUGGAACCGAACUCCGCCGCGACGGGGCUGCCCACGUUCCAAUAGUCGGU
Molecule: long non-coding RNA, 336 nt
Filed under: Zea mays
Lineage: Eukaryota; Viridiplantae; Streptophyta; Magnoliopsida; Poales; Poaceae
Description: long non-coding RNA NONZMAT004489
Source: RNAcentral